This 29-nucleotide non-coding RNA is filed under the name Homo sapiens (human). Lineage: Eukaryota; Metazoa; Chordata; Mammalia; Primates; Hominidae. The record is from RNAcentral.
UGGUAAUCCUCAAGGUGGUGGUACCUAGA